Molecule: ribosomal RNA, 406 nt
Filed under: uncultured bacterium
Lineage: Bacteria
Description: partial 16S ribosomal RNA
Rfam family: Bacterial small subunit ribosomal RNA
Source: RNAcentral
AUUGAACGCUGGCGGCAGGCCUAACACAUGCAAGUCGAACGAGUAGCGGACGGGUGAGUAAUGUCUGGGAAACUGCCUGAUGGAGGGGGAUAACUACUGGAAACGGUAGCUAAUACCGCAUACAAUCGGAUGUGCCCAGAUGGGAUUAUCUAGUAGGUGGGGUAAAGGCUCACCUAGGCGACGAUCCCUAGCUGGUCUGAGAGGAUGACCAGCCACACUGGAACUGAGAAACGGUCCAGACACCUACGGGAGGCAGCAGUGGAGAAUAAUGCACAAUAGGAGCAAGCAUGAUGCAGCCAUGCGGCGUGUAUGAAGAAGGCCUUCGAGUUGUAAAAUAAUUUCAGCCGGUAGGCGUAACCCGCAGAAGAAGCACCGGCUAACUCCGUUCCAGCAGCCGCGGUAAUAC